RNAcentral lists this ribosomal RNA (482 nucleotides) under uncultured bacterium. Its description in RNAcentral is "partial 16S ribosomal RNA". It matches the Rfam family "Bacterial small subunit ribosomal RNA", at positions 30 to 507 of the family's 1533-position model. The record is from RNAcentral.
AUUGAACGCUGGCGGCAUGCUUUACACAUGCAAGUCGAACGGUAACAGGCCGCAAGGUGCUGACGAGUGGCGAACGGGUGCGUAAUGCAUCGGAACGUGCCCCGUCGUGGGGGAUAACUACUCGAAAGAGUAGCUAAUACCGCAUACGAUCUAUGGAUGAAAGCGGGGGACCGUAAGGCCUCGCGCGAUUGGAGCGGCCGAUGUCAGAUUAGGUAGUUGGUGGGGUAAAGGCUCACCAAGCCAACGAUCUGUAGCUGGUCUGAGAGGACGACCAGCCACACUGGAACUGAGACACGGCCCAGACUCCUACGGGAGGCAGCAGUGGGGAAUUUUGGACAAUGGGCGCAAGCCUGAUCCAGCAAUGCCGCGUGCAGGAAGAAGGCCUUCGGGUUGUAAACUGCUUUUGUACGGAACGAAACGGCGCUGGUUAAUACCCGGGGCUAAUGACGGUACCGUAAGAAUAAGCACCGGCUAACUACGUG